GAUGAACGCUGGCGGCGUGCCUAAUACAUGCAAGUCGAGCGAACGGACGAGAAGCUUGCUUUUCUGAUGUUAGCGGCGGACGGGUGAGUAACACGUGGAUAACCUACCUAUAAGACUGGGAUAACUUCGGGAAACCGGAGCUAAUACCGGAUAAUAUUUUGAACCGCAUGGUUCAAAAGUGAAAGACGGUCUUGCUGUCACUUAUAGAUGGAUCCGCGCUGCAUUAGCUAGUUGGUAAGGUAACGGCUUACCAAGGCAACGAUGCAUAGCCGACCUGAGAGGGUGAUCGGCCACACUGGAACUGAGACACGGUCCAGACUCCUACGGGAGGCAGCAGUAGGGAAUCUUCCGCAAUGGGCGAAAGCCUGACGGAGCAACGCCGCGUGAGUGAUGAAGGUCUUCGGAUCGUAAAACUCUGUUAUUAGGGAAGAACAUAUGUGUAAGUAACUGUGCACAUCUUGACGGUACCUAAUCAGAAAGCCACGGCUAACUACGUGCCAGCAGCCGCGGUAAUACGUAGGUGGCAAGCGUUAUCCGGAAUUAUUGGGCGUAAAGCGCGCGUAGGCGGUUUUUUAAGUCUGAUGUGAAAGCCCACGGCUCAACCGUGGAGGGUCAUUGGAAACUGGAAAACUUGAGUGCAGAAGAGGGAAGUGGAAUUCCAUGUGUAGCGGUGAAAUGCGCAGAGAUGUGGAGGAACACCAGUGGCGAAGGCGACUUUCUGGUCUGUAACUGACGCUGAUGUGCGAAAGCGUGGGGAUCAAACAGGAUUAGAUACCCUGGUAGUCCACGCCGUAAACGAUGAGUGCUAAGUGUUAGGGGGUUUCCGCCCCUUAGUGCUGCAGCUAACGCAUUAAGCACUCCGCCUGGGGAGUACGACCGCAAGGUUGAAACUCAAAGGAAUUGACGGGGGCCCGCACAAGCGGUGGAGCAUGUGGUUUAAUUCGAAGCAACGCGAAGAACCUUACCAAAUCUUGACAUCCUUUGACAACUCUAGAGAUAGAGCCUUCCCCUUCGGGGGACAAAGUGACAGGUGGUGCAUGGUUGUCGUCAGCUCGUGUCGUGAGAUGUUGGGUUAAGUCCCGCAACGAGCGCAACCCUUAAGCUUAGUUGCCAUCAUUAAGUUGGGCACUCUAAGUUGACUGCCGGUGACAAACCGGAGGAAGGUGGGGAUGACGUCAAAUCAUCAUGCCCCUUAUGAUUUGGGCUACACACGUGCUACAAUGGACAAUACAAAGGGCAGCGAAACCGCGAGGUCAAGCAAAUCCCAUAAAGUUGUUCUCAGUUCGGAUUGUAGUCUGCAACUCGACUACAUGAAGCUGGAAUCGCUAGUAAUCGUAGAUCAGCAUGCUACGGUGAAUACGUUCCCGGGUCU
This 1372-nucleotide ribosomal RNA is filed under the name uncultured bacterium. RNAcentral describes it as "bacterial SSU rRNA". It matches the Rfam family "Bacterial small subunit ribosomal RNA", at positions 28 to 1381 of the family's 1533-position model. The record is from RNAcentral.